RNAcentral lists this ribosomal RNA (489 nucleotides) under uncultured bacterium. Its description in RNAcentral is "bacterial SSU rRNA". It matches the Rfam family "Bacterial small subunit ribosomal RNA", at positions 30 to 516 of the family's 1533-position model. The record is from RNAcentral.
AUUGAACGCUGGCGGCAUGCCUAACACAUGCAAGUCGAACGGAGGUAGGGGCAACUCUACUUCAGUGGCGGACGGGUGAGGAAUGCGUCGGAAUCUACCCUAUGGUGGGGGAUAACACAGGGAAACUUGUGCUAAUACCGCAUAAUGUCGAGAGACCAAAGCAGGGGACCGCAAGGCCUUGCGCGAUAGGAUGAGCCGACGCCCGAUUAGCUAGUUGGUAGGGUAAAGGCCUACCAAGGCGACGAUCGGUAGCUGGUCUGAGAGGAUGAUCAGCCACACUGGGACUGAGACACGGCCCAGACUCCUACGGGAGGCAGCAGUGGGGAAUAUUGGACAAUGGGCGCAAGCCUGAUCCAGCAAUGCCGCGUGUGUGAAGAAGGCCUGCGGGUUGUAAAGCACUUUUGUUCGGGAAGAAAUCAUGUCGGUUAAUACCCGAUGUGGAUGACGGUACCGAAAGAAUAAGCACCGGCUAACUUCGUGCCAGCAGCC